UACGUAGGGUGCGAGCGUUGUCCGGAAUUACUGGGCGUAAAGGGCGCGUAGGUGGCCCGACAAGUCAGUGGUGAAAGCUCGACGCUCAACGUCGAGUCGGCCACUGAUACUGUUGGGCUGGAGCACUGUAGAGGCAGAUGGAAUUCCGAGUGUAGAGGUGAAAUUCGUAGAUAUUCGGAAGAACACCAGUGGCGAAGGCGGCUCACUGGACUGGUAUUGACGCUGAGGUGCGAAAGCGUGGGGAGCAAACAGG
Molecule: ribosomal RNA, 253 nt
Filed under: uncultured bacterium
Lineage: Bacteria
Description: partial 16S ribosomal RNA
Rfam family: Bacterial small subunit ribosomal RNA
Source: RNAcentral